ACUCAAAUGAAUUGACGGGGGCCCGCACAAGCGGUGGAGCAUGUGGUUCAAUUCGACGCAACGCGAAGAACCUUACCAGCUUUUGACAUGCCUCGUAUGAGCACCAGAGAUGGAGCUCUUCACUUCGGGUGGCGAGGACACAGGUGCUGCAUGGCUGUCGUCAGCUCGUGUCGUGAGAUGUUGGGUUAAGUCCCGCAACGAGCGCAACCCUCGUCCCUAGUUGCCAUCAUUCAGUUGGGCACUCUAGGGAGACUGCCGGUGAUAAGCCGCGAGGAGGGUGGGGAUGACGUCAAGUCCUCAUGGCCCUUACAGGCUGGGCUACACACGUGCUACAAUGGCGGUGACAAUGGGAUGCGAAGGGGCGACCCGGAGCUAAUCUCAAAAAGCCGUCUCAGUUCGGAUUGCACUCUGCAACUCGAGUGCAUGAAGUUGGAAUCGCUAGUAAUCGUGGAUCAGCAUGCCACGGUGAAUACGUUCCCGGGCCUUGCACACACCGCCCGU
This 501-nucleotide ribosomal RNA is filed under the name uncultured bacterium. RNAcentral describes it as "partial 16S ribosomal RNA". It matches the Rfam family "Bacterial small subunit ribosomal RNA", at positions 899 to 1397 of the family's 1533-position model. The record is from RNAcentral.